ACAAGACUUUCCUCUCCUCUUGUCCAAUAGGAAAUGGAGUGGGAUCACUGUCAGUCACAGGUGAUGUUGGAUAUGCAGGAAACGAGAGAAAGCUUCGGCUGAUGCAGGAGCUACACAGAGCAGAAGCAUAGCACCGGAAUAGGCUGAACGCCGUAUUUCCAUCGCCUUUUCAGUGGAAAUGCAAUGAAAUACCAAACAUGGGAGGACCAAAACAGUCAUAGCGCUUCAGGGGGAUACGAUGCCGAAGAAUUGCCAUUGGUUAAUUUCUACACUUUUUACAAGAAAUAAACGUUGCUUUUGAAAAUGCCAUUUCACAGCAACUCCUUAAUGCCUUUCUCUAUCCAAGCCAUUUUGAACAAAAAAAGAGUACAGUGGACACUUGGCAGAUUUCGACGACUGCUUCUCGAAGACUGCGUGUUGGAAAAUAUUUGGGGAAAUGGAUACUGGAUGCGGGAAAGUCCUCCGAACGUGUAGAAGUGACGAGGGGGCUUGCAUGGUCAGCGAUCAGAGAAGUUACGACUCCGAUUCAGGUCUCAGUGAUGACAAUGCCAGCAAGGCCCUGGCCGUUUGUAAGUCAGAGAAAAACAGGGAUCCUGUUUCAGACGUUCUGGAAGAAAGUUUGCAGGACGAAACGCCCCAGAAUGCACUUCUGUCGAUAACGCACAAGGUCUUAGAGACUGUGAACCUAGUGUUUCAGAUUCCAACAACGUAGCCGAUGCCAGUCGUGAUAAAAGUUCGGAUCAGCCCAAACAGAGGAAAAAACGCUCAAGGGCUGCGUUCUCCCACGCGCAAGUGUUCGAACUCGAGCGGAGGUUCAAUCGCCAAAGAUACCUAUCCGGACCGGAGAGAGCAGACCUGGCGGCUUCCCUGAAGCUGUCAGAGACGCAGGUCAAAAUAUGGUUCCAGAAUCGUAGAUCUAAAACAAAACGUCAUCAAAUGGCUGCCGACUUGAUUGCCUCGGUGCCUGCAGCAAAGAAAGUAGCGGUGAAAGUGUUAGUUCGAGACGACCAGAGACAGUACAACCCCGGAGAACUACUGCGGCCUCCUCUCCUCUCUCUCCAACCGUCUUAUUACUACCCCUAAUGCCUAUUGCUCUCUACUUGUGCUGGGAAUCAAUGAGAUUUGAAUAGCCUACGUUGUAUUUAUGUGUCCCCAUUAGGAAAUCGAGGCAUUUGCUUUCUUGGCCCUUUAAGAAGAAACCAGGAGAGAUUCAAUAAACUCGGAAAUUGUUAUGUCUCACAUAUUUGAACUGCCUAAUGGUGUCUAGACUGAAUAUGCCCCCCAUUCCAUUGUUUCAGAAUGUAGUCCGUGGAGUGUAAAAACAUCCUAUGUAUGCUUACGAGCACUGGAGAGAGAUAGAGCCACAAGUGACAUUUCGAAUAACUCAUUACUGCUUUUCUUUUCUUGCUGCGGUUUAGGGUAACGGUAAGAUUUUCAGCACUUUUCGAAACAGAGAUAGUGUGGACAUAUGUCCGACUGAAAUAUCGAUUUGAAGGUACGUUUUACUUAUGACCUUAAUGUGAACUGGCAGAGACAGUAUGUAUAACAAGUGAACUCUUGUUAUAAUGUACUUGUUUUUUAAAAAUUUGUUCUAGAACUGAUUGAUUAUUAGAGAUAAAUCAAACAUUAAAAACAUAUCAGGCAUAUUAUAUUUCAAAGCUAUCGUGUUUGAGUCGAGCUUUAACUAUAUUUAGAUGGAUGUCCUUUUUUCCUUUUUAGACUUUGAACUUAAAUUAGUCGGCUACAAUAAGGAUAUUAUUGACCAUGAUCAGUAGGCCUAAAUGAAUGGUAAUUGUGUCAUUAACCAUUAUUUUUAUCAUAAAAUAAAAUUCUAAUGAAAAUAACUUAAUAAUAAUAAUCAUAAUAGUAAUAAGAAAUGAAAUACCUAUGAUGCAUUGAAUGCAUGUUCAUCACAAUAACAAAUGGAGGCUUUUAUUUUCAUGACCUAAAUUACUAAAUUGGUGGUCAUAUAUUACAUCAAACAAUACGUUUAUAACAGAACUUGGUCCGUUUCCUUUCGUCAUCCUCAUAGCUUCAGGUAGGCCCGCCCACCUUAUUCUGCAGCUAUGUACCAUUUAGGCCCAGAGCUGAGAAAUUACUCAAAUCAGUUACAAAAUAACUGUUUGGUGAUUAUUUAUUUACCACUGUAUUUAAAAGACUUUAAACUGUUCAGGAACUAUUUAUUAUUUUAGUUAACGGCAAACACAGGACAAUAUUGCCUAUUCCAAAAUCAAGGACGAUACCGAAAUUUGAACAGAAGCUUGGAUUCUAUAAACAUUGAAAUAAAUGUUGUCCAGUUGCUCAUCAUUAGUAGGGUAAAACUAACUUGUCUCAACGACGGUCGAAUUAGAUUGGGAGAGAACGAUUCGGGCCAAGACCAAAAACUGCAGGGUUCAAGAGCACACUAUUUGCCUUACCAUUUCAUCUUCCUGUGAAACGGAAUCAUUGAUUGAAUGAGUUGGAGGAAUUCAAUGUCAGAAAAUGGAAUUGUGCUGAUUCAUAUGAUUUUAUUUGACUGAACAAAAUGCAUAGGUAUACAAAUAAAGAACCAUAAAACUUAA
Oncorhynchus tshawytscha (Chinook salmon) is the source of this 2561-nucleotide long non-coding RNA. RefSeq lists it as uncharacterized. The record is from RefSeq and is a predicted model, not a curated record. NCBI's taxonomy places the organism in Eukaryota, Metazoa, Chordata, Actinopteri, Salmoniformes, Salmonidae. The transcript is spliced from 2 exons.